RNAcentral lists this ribosomal RNA (444 nucleotides) under uncultured bacterium. RNAcentral describes it as "bacterial SSU rRNA". It matches the Rfam family "Bacterial small subunit ribosomal RNA", at positions 331 to 792 of the family's 1533-position model. The record is from RNAcentral.
CCAGACUCCUACGGGAGGCAGCAGUGGGGAAUAUUGCACAAUGGGGGGAACCCUGAUGCAGCGACGCCGCGUGAGUGAAGAAGUAUUUCGGUAUGUAAAGCUCUAUCAGCAGGGAAGAUAAUGACGGUACCUGAGUAAGAAGCCCCGGCUAACUACGUGCCAGCAGCCGCGGUAAUACGUAGGGGGCAAGCGUUAUCCGGAUUUACUGGGUUUAAAGGGUGCGCAGGCGGUCUGUUAAGUCAGCGGUCAAAGCCGGGGGCCACCCCCCCGGCCCGCCGUUGAAACUGGCAGUCUCGAGUUGGAGAGAAGUAUGCGGAAUGCGCGGUGUAGCGGUGAAAUGCAUAGAUAUCGCGCAGAACUCCGAUUGCGAAGGCAGCAUGCCGGCUCCACACUGACGCUGAGGCACGAAAGCGUGGGUAUCGAACAGGAUUAGAUACCCUCGUA